GACGAACGCUGGCGGCGUGCUUAACACAUGCAAGUCGAACGGUAAGGCCCUUCGGGGUACACGAGUGGCGAACGGGUGAGUAACACGUGGGUGAUCUGCUCUGCACUUCGGGAUAAGCCUGGGAAACUGGGUCUAAUACCGGGUAGGACCACUGCCUGCAUGGGUGGUGGUGGAAAGCUUUUGCGGUGUGGGAUGGGCCCGCGGCCUAUCAGCUUGUUGGUGGGGUGAUGGCCUACCAAGGCGACGACGGGUAGCCGGCCUGAGAGGGUGACCGGCCACACUGGGACUGAGAUACGGCCCAGACUCCUACGGGAGGCAGCAGUGGGGAAUAUUGCACAAUGGGCGCAAGCCUGAUGCAGCGACGCCGCGUGAGGGAUGACGGCCUUCGGGUUGUAAACCUCUUUCAGCACCGACAAAGCGCAAGUGACGGUAGGUGCAGAAGAAGGACCGGCCAACUACGUGCCAGCCGCCGCAGUAA
RNAcentral lists this ribosomal RNA (478 nucleotides) under uncultured bacterium. Its description in RNAcentral is "partial 16S ribosomal RNA". It matches the Rfam family "Bacterial small subunit ribosomal RNA", at positions 28 to 523 of the family's 1533-position model. The record is from RNAcentral.